UGGGGAAUAUUGCACAAUGGGGGAAACCCUGAUGCAGCCAUGCCGCGUGUGUGAAGAAGGCCUUCGGGUUGUAAAGCACUUUCAGCGAGGAGGAAAGGGUGUAAGUUAAUACCUUACAUCUGUGACGUUACUCGCAGAAGAAGCACCGGCUAACUCCGUGCCAGCAGCCGCGGUAAUACGGAGGGUGCGAGCGUUAAUCGGAAUUACUGGGCGUAAAGCGUGCGCAGGCGGUUUGUUAAGCGAGAUGUGAAAGCCCCGGGCUCAACCUGGGAACCGCAUUUCGAACUGGCAAACUAGAGUCUUGUAGAGGGGGGUAGAAUUCCAGGUGUAGCGGUGAAAUGCGUAGAGAUCUGGAGGAAUACCGGUGGCGAAGGCGGCCCCCUGGACAAAGACUGACGCU
Molecule: ribosomal RNA, 400 nt
Filed under: uncultured bacterium
Lineage: Bacteria
Description: bacterial SSU rRNA
Rfam family: Bacterial small subunit ribosomal RNA
Source: RNAcentral